CCGACCGAGCGAGGCUCGCGUUUCUUAACAAGACCAAGCUUGUACAAUCACAUGACCGUCAACAACGUGAUUCCUGCUGAAAUCAAUUAGCUAAGUGAAUUUACAAAGUCUGCAGUCACUAGAAUGAGGGGACUACGGAGAAUCCAAUAAUGUCUGUUUGGAGGAGCAGGCUUGUUUUUUGGCCCCUGACAAUGCAAUUACAGCCCCGCCGAUUGUCGUGUGUGUGCAUUAAGUACCUCCCCCAAAACGAGGCCGAUUAAUGAAGGGGCUCCUCGGGGCCGAAGAAGAAGCCCCAGGCACCCACACACAGAGGAGAGGAACUGUUGUUGGGGGUCAGGCCGCUACACAUGCUCCAUAUUAAUGCAGCAUGGAGUGGGCGCCUUUCCAGUGCUGUGCUGCUGGGUGGAAUAUGGGUUUGAAACGACAUUAGGGGUCCCCCUUCAAGAUCCAGUCCGAGUCCUGUUCAAGCCCAGGCUCGAGAAAAAAGAUGCCCGGUUUGUGAAUAUGUCCUCCUACCAAGACAGAAAACUGCAUCACACUGAACCACAGUCUAAGCUGGUACCACACCGAAAACACCUAGCAGUCCUGCCAAAGUAAAGUUUGAGUGCUGUGCAUAGUUACGAUGUAGACUGUGUGCUCAUCGGCUUGGCGGUGGCAGACAUCGCAGAAGUCAGGGGACAGCCGACGGACGGAGCCAAGACUCUGUGACAGAUCGCCACAGCUGACAGCCUUUAACGUCCCAUCUAAUUUAUGUCGUGGAGGGAAUGGGAAUGAAAUGUUAAUAAAGAAUCUCUGCAUCACAUAUUCUUAACUGCAGCCUCAGGCCUCACUCUGCAUCUGUCAUGGAGAUGAAUACAGAGAAAGGGAAGGAGGAGGGAGUACAGGGUGGCACAGAGGGAUGGCGAGUUAUCUUUACACAUGUAGCUGAAGCCAAAGUCAUUUUAGACUUAAAAUGAGCAGGCUUAACAAGCUCAACAAAAUGAGUACCGUGUUUACAAAAUAAGCCACUAUAUUUGCUAUUAGUUCCGAAUCGUAGAUUAUAUCCUGAUUGAGUGUUCAGGCAGUUUGAAUUGACUGAGUGCGUGGCUAACAUUUAUCUCAUGUCUCAAGGCUGUCAUUAAAUAGAUUCUCUUGUCUGAUUAGUUAAACAUGAUAUUGAGCUGUUUGGAUUUCCUCCAGCCAGGAUGACAAAUGAGCCGGGUCAUCUUACACAGCCAGGCCUGAAGAGGGCAAUGUGUGCUUGUGUCAAGAUUAGGCAUGUUUCUCACACCUUUCAAUAAAUGACUGCAAA
Sinocyclocheilus rhinocerous is the source of this 1291-nucleotide long non-coding RNA. RefSeq lists it as uncharacterized. The transcript is spliced from 7 exons. Lineage: Eukaryota; Metazoa; Chordata; Actinopteri; Cypriniformes; Cyprinidae. The record is from RefSeq and is a predicted model, not a curated record.